This 296-nucleotide long non-coding RNA is filed under the name Sinocyclocheilus grahami. RNAcentral describes it as "lncRNA (ENSSGRG00000038962.1)". Lineage: Eukaryota; Metazoa; Chordata; Actinopteri; Cypriniformes; Cyprinidae. The record is from RNAcentral.
UUGUUUUGUUAUUGUCUUCAUGCUGAUUUCUGUCAUUGCAGCUAUAAAUAUAACACUGCAGGAAGAAUGCACCACCUCUGGAGGAUGUCUUCAAAAUCUCUUUGAGCAGAUAGAGAACAUUACAGCUCAAGUGCUUCCUUUAAAUAGGGACAAGUCUUCAUGGUUGGACCACAGGUCACUUUAGAUCAAAUCCCUCGACUUGACACGACAAAUUCAUCUGUGGACAUCGAUCUCAUUGGGAUCGCCAAGAACAACUAUGAAACACGUAUGUGAAAUGAUUCCGUGUGAUUAAAAAA